Molecule: ribosomal RNA, 116 nt
Filed under: Oryctolagus cuniculus (rabbit)
Lineage: Eukaryota; Metazoa; Chordata; Mammalia; Lagomorpha; Leporidae
Source: RNAcentral
GUCUACAGCCAUACCACGCUGAAGGUGCCCAAUCUCGUCUGAUCUCAGAAGCUAAGCAGAGUCGGGCCUGGUUAGUUGGAUGGGAGAGAGAACAAAAACUCAACUAACAGUGGAUA